CACGGGGUGGUCGAAUUCUAAGUCGGUAGAUUGUAAAUCUAUGAAUGAGUAAAUUACUCUCUCGUGA
Molecule: transfer RNA, 67 nt
Filed under: Chiroteuthis picteti
Lineage: Eukaryota; Metazoa; Mollusca; Cephalopoda; Oegopsida; Chiroteuthidae
Description: tRNA-Tyr
Source: RNAcentral